This 492-nucleotide ribosomal RNA is filed under the name uncultured bacterium. Its description in RNAcentral is "partial 16S ribosomal RNA". It matches the Rfam family "Bacterial small subunit ribosomal RNA", at positions 29 to 507 of the family's 1533-position model. The record is from RNAcentral.
AGUGAACGCUGGCGGUAUGCCUAACACAUGCAAGUCGAACGGCAGCACAGUAAGAUCGUGCUCUUACGGGUGGCGAGGGGCGGACGGGUGAGAAGUACAUCGGAAUCUACUUUGUCGGGGGGGACAACGGGGGAAAACUGACGCUAAUAGCGCAUACAACCUACGGCAUGAAUCAAUAGAGCAUCGGACCUUUCGCGAUUGAUUGAGCCGAUGCCGGAUUAGCUAGUUGGCUGGGUAAAGGCACACCAAGGCGACGAUCCGUAGCUGGUCUGAGAGGAUGAUCAGCCACACUGGAACUGAGACACGGUCCAGACUCCUACGGGAGGCAGCAGUGGGGAAUCUUGCACAAUGGGCGCAAGCCUGAUCCAGCCAUACCGCGUGAGUGAAGAAGGUCUUCGGGUUGUAAAGCUCUUUUAUUGGGAAAGAACAGAAGCAGAUUUAUCUAUCGAUGUCCUGACGGUACCUAAAGAGUAAGCCCCGGCUAACUUCGUG